CCAUCAUAACAAAGUUGAAUCUUCACAAAAUCCUUACUUGAUCUUCACUUUAGGCUUUCCUUUAUGUAGUUUUAGCCCAUAGGUUUGAUUAGGCUCCCUCAGCCUAUGAUUGCAAGUGUUGCACCAAAUCUGUCCCAUAUGAGUUAAAGCACGCCCCAAAUAUAUAUGGAUUAUAUGAAUAUGAUUUUGAACUACUCUUGGAUCCAUUGGAAUGAUAUAAGUUUGUUCCAC
Molecule: long non-coding RNA, 231 nt
Filed under: Manihot esculenta (cassava)
Lineage: Eukaryota; Viridiplantae; Streptophyta; Magnoliopsida; Malpighiales; Euphorbiaceae
Description: long non-coding RNA (MESC_LNC004007)
Source: RNAcentral